AAGAAUAAAAGUGAAGUUAAAAAUAAUUUUUGUGCGUUUGAUUUUAAAGCGAGGAUCGACACAGUGGUAGCAGACCGUAUUUGGAAACAUUUUGUUGAGGCUGCAUAGUAACCCUUGCCCAAGUAGGAGUAUUUACCCGAGCCAGAAGUGCAGGUAACCAGUCGAUCAGGAAACUGACUCUGUGGUGACCGACUGUAGCAAAAGUUGUCCCGUCAACAUCUGGUCCUUCGAAACCGGCAAUUAGGACAAAGUAAUAGAAGUUAAAAGUUCAUUGGGUUUUAAGACGGCAAGGAAAAUUCAAAAUUUCUGCACGGUGUGUCACAAAAAUGUUACCUGGUCAUCCCGGAUACAACAAAAAGAGCAUCACCACAGGCUAACGGGGAUUUACCAGUUACUUAUGCCGCUCCUCGGACUGGUAAAAUUUUUGAAUCUGGAUUUUUGUCCAAUUAAAUUAUUGAAAAAUCUGCCCUCCUCCCGUUUGGAAAAUUGAGGGGGACAGUCAAAUCGUUGUUAACUGUUGUGGUGCAAUCUUAAAAGACAAAAGAAAACCAACCGAGCACCAGUCAGUAACAGACAAAAUUAAGAUUCACCAUCAACACUUUAUCAAGCUUUAGCGCGUUUCCCUACUUGCCCUCCAUUUAUACCCUCGGUGAAGCUGUUAGUUGGAAUUUCCACUACUUUCCAAAAAAUGUCUGUCUUUUUCAUUGUUUGUUUACUUUAUUUUUGCCACUGGUACUACUAAACCUAUGAUAUUAAUCAGGGCUGUAUUUAUGCUACUGUCACCAUACCUCUUUGACUGACCAAAUACAUCCCUGAUGUGGCAUCACCUUUUUUUUGGUCUGGCAUGUUGUACUGACCGUUUCCGCUUCAUUUUUAAACCGGUGGCGGACGACGUACUUGGUUCGCCGAAAUGUUGCCAGUAGUUUUCCUCAAAAAAAAACUUAAAAAUUAUUCAGCAGUAAGUCACGCGCAACAAUACUUCGCCAUUUUCAUUUCACUCAAUGAAAAUGGUGAUGUGCGUGAUGGGGAAAAUGUGAAAUAAAUGAAAGCAGUCGUAUUUGGAAUACGGAAUACAGGUAAAGCAGAUUUUCUUCAAUGAGAAAAACUCGUGUUUGCCAUUGGUAAGCUUGUGCGUAUAUAUCGCAAAAAAAAUGGUGGCGUGGUUUUACGCACACAUACGUUUAUACGCACAUGAACCCUUUCAACACUCGGCGUUGUCAAUGCUGUUUCAUUGUGUCUCAAUUAAAGGCCUGCACAAGACGAAUUGUAUGAAUUAGCUGUUUUCGACACACUGACUUUGUCUACCCAAUCAUGCGCUAUGUAUUUGAGAGGCAAUGACAACCAACAACACCCCCCAUUUUGAUUCAUGUGUGCCAUUGUCUAAGGUUCGAUCGUGGCAUGGCUGACUCGAAUAUUUGCAUGGUGUUCUCAUGGCAUUGUGUGUCAUUUGUGUACGUGUGCUUAAAUUGAGAGAGUGUGUGUGUGUGUUACUUUUGACGGUGAGGGUGUGUUUUUGUGUGUGCUGUAAUUUUGAAGUAAGAAACACCGCGUUCACAUAAAAUUGAGUUCAAUAACAAAAUGUACAUAGACAUAAACAAAUGAAUAGAAAAAAUGGAAUAUAUUCUGAAUAAUCCCAAUUUAUUGGUGAUUAUCAUAAAAUUUUGGUCAUAAAAAACAGGUAAAUAUAGUUUGCCUAUUUCUACAUAUAGUGUUCUUUUAAAAUUAAAGUUUGGGGGCAGAGAUUUGACUCUCAUUCAAUAACAGAAUGUGCACAGAAUUGAACAAUGGAAGUAUAUAGAGUUGUUACAUGAAUUACAGUAGCACUCAUUCUCAUUUACAACUCACUACCGGAGGCAAACAUUUAUGAAAUUAUAAUCAAAAUAAGAAAAUUUUUCAGGGGAUUAUUGUUUUAAUAAGGAUGAACAUUUUGCGUUUGAUCAAACAGGGCACAAUAUGACGAGCGUUUUCUAUCCAUGGCAUAAAUCUCUCAAUGCAGUCAAUGCAGAAUGCCUUUACACACAUGCCUGUUGUCAUCGGCAGAAUUACUUCGUACACACAGCUGCCGGCAAUGGCAGAAUUUCUGUACGCAUACCGAUGUUAGCAUUGGCAGAACUAUUAAACACACAUCGCUGUCGGCAGCGUUAUUACACGAUUAUCGUAAUAUGUGUGUUGUCGUAUGAAGGGUCUACCAUUUUAUUCACACGGAACAACAGGCCAUAAAAGAAUGGAAUUUUAUAUAUGAAGAUAAACUUCAAUUGGCGUAUUCGGUAUUCCAGAUUACUUUCUUUUUUUAAUUGAUUGUACUUUAUGUGGUUUAUAUUUUUUUAUUUUAUUUCAGGAAUUUUAUAUAUGAAGAUACUCUUCAAUUGGCGUAUUCGGUAUUUCAGAUUACUUACUUUUUUUAAUUGAUCAUAAAGUACGAUCAAUUAAAAAAAGUAAGUAAUCUGUUUAUAUUUUUAUUUUAUUUCAGGAAUUUUAUAUAUGAAGAUACUCUUCAAUUGGCGUACUCUGUAUUUCAGAUUUUUAUUGUCCAUUAAAUUCAAUUACAUAUAUGACCCAUUCAUUGUGUGUUAUGUUAUAGUUAUGUACACAUGGCGGUUGGCGUGGCUUAUUAGGCCGACUAUAACCAUAUGCUGAUUGGAACAUAUGGUGGCAUGAGUUUUAUGGGCGACGUACGUGAAAAAGUUUCCCCAACUACCUGUUGGGUAGUUACCCUCGUCUCCUAUGUGCGUGUUUUAUAUUAUGGGACAAGCAGUAAAAUAGGACCUUUUCGUGUUUCAAACUGUAAACAUUUAUGGCAAAGUGUCUCAACCUUAAAUACGGGUUAUUUUUCGCUUUUGCUUGUGCAGCAACAUGAAAUUAUUGUGUUCCUGCAACUGUGUUCCUGCAACACAUCACAUAUAAAUGUUAGUGACACACAAUAUGCCAACUACCUGCAUUGCAUAACCCGGAUCAACAUCUUAAUAUUUUGGAAAAGAAGGUGCUAAACCAAAUAAAAAGAAUAUUUAUAAACAGGUUAAAAGUUCAUUGGGUUUUAAGGCCGCAAGGAAAAUUCAAAUUUCGGAGUUAUCAGCACGGUGUGUAACAAAAAUGUUACCUGGUCAUCCCGGAUACAACAAAAAGGGCAUCACCACAGGCUCACGGGAUUUACCAGUCACUUAUGCCGCUCCUCGGACUGGUCAAAUUUUCGAUUCUGGAUUUUUGUCCAAUUAAAUUAUUGAAAAAUCUGCCCAUUUGGAAAAUUGAGGAGGACAGUCAAAUCGUUGUUAACUGUUGUGGUACAAUCUUAAAGGACAAAAGAAAACCCACCGAGCACCAGUCAGUAAUAGACAAAAUUAAGAUUCACCAUCAACACUUACUUUUAUGUUUGUCUUCCCAAAACAUGGAUUAACACUCUUCAAUAAAAUAACUCAAAAUUCGAACAAAUUUAUAAAUCGUUUUAUUUUUCUGUUUUAAUAUUUUCUUGGUGUAAAUGUUGUAGUAUCCCAACGUAUAGGUUAGGCGCGGCACUUAAAACUUUAGCGCGUUUUCCUACUUGGCCUCCAUUUAUACCCCUUGGUGAACUUUGAAUACCCUCCACUUUUUGGAACGUAUUUAAAAUUUUUCAAAAAAUUAAAUUCUUAAAAAAUUCUGUUAACAUUUUAAAAAUACCAAAUAUAGCCGUCUAUUGGGGUCUAUACGACGUGGACCUACAUAGGCAUUGUUUAUCAUAAGCCAUUACCAUAUUCAAACUUGAAAUAAACAGUGAAUAAUGUAGCUUAAAUCGUCAAAAUAUCGCAUAUAGGAGGUACCGUUAUAUCGGAGCUGUGCGAAGACCU
This is a long non-coding RNA of Musca domestica (house fly), 3818 nucleotides long. RefSeq lists it as uncharacterized. The record is from RefSeq and is a predicted model, not a curated record. NCBI's taxonomy places the organism in Eukaryota, Metazoa, Arthropoda, Insecta, Diptera, Muscidae. The transcript is spliced from 7 exons.